RNAcentral lists this transfer RNA (71 nucleotides) under Ovis aries (sheep). It matches the Rfam family "tRNA". From Rfam's summary of the family: Transfer RNA (tRNA) molecules are approximately 80 nucleotides in length. The record is from Rfam by way of RNAcentral. Lineage: Eukaryota; Metazoa; Chordata; Mammalia; Artiodactyla; Bovidae.
UCCCAGGUGGCUCAGUGGUAAAGCAUCCACCUGCUAAGCAGGAGACCCUGGUUCAACCCCUGGUUUGGGAA